This 497-nucleotide ribosomal RNA is filed under the name uncultured bacterium. RNAcentral describes it as "partial 16S ribosomal RNA". It matches the Rfam family "Bacterial small subunit ribosomal RNA", at positions 28 to 507 of the family's 1533-position model. The record is from RNAcentral.
GAUGAACGCUGGCGGCGUGCUUAAUACAUGCAAGUCGAGCGAACGGACGCGGAGCUUGCUUUGCUGACGUUAGCGGCGGACGGGUGUGUAACACGUGGAUCACCUACCUAUCAUACUGGGAUAACUUCGGGACACCGGAUCUUAUACCGUAUAAUAUUUUGCACCACAUUGUUCAUCAGUAAGUUACGGUCUUGCUGUCUGUUAUCGAUGGAUCCGCGCUUGAUUAGCUAGUUGGUAAGGUAAAGGCUUAUCAAGGCAACGAUGCCUAGCCGACCUGAGAGGGUGAUCGGCCACACUGGAACGGAGACACGGUCCAGACUCCUACGGGAGGCAGCAGUAGGGAAUCUUCCGCAAUGGGCGAAAGCCUGACGGAGCAACGCCGCGUGAGUGAUGAAGGUCUUCGGAUCGUAAAACUCUGUUAUUAGGGAAGAACAUAUGUGUAAGUAACUGUGCACAUCUUGACGGUACCUAAUCAGAAAGCCACGGCUAACUACGUG